Small nucleolar RNA from Raphanus sativus (radish), 107 nucleotides. Lineage: Eukaryota; Viridiplantae; Streptophyta; Magnoliopsida; Brassicales; Brassicaceae. The record is from RefSeq and is a predicted model, not a curated record.
AAGCCAUGGUGUGGGUAUUGAGCUUGGUAGCCUUUGAAUCUCUCCCAAGCUUCACUGAAUCCUUCCAAGUUCUUCUGUUGGAAACUGGAUAUCUUGUUUCUCAGCUU